This 74-nucleotide transfer RNA is filed under the name Ulva sp. TM637. Its description in RNAcentral is "tRNA-Arg". It matches the Rfam family "tRNA". Rfam says of the family: Transfer RNA (tRNA) molecules are approximately 80 nucleotides in length. Their secondary structure includes four short double-helical elements and three loops (D, anti-codon, and T loops). Lineage: Eukaryota; Viridiplantae; Chlorophyta; Ulvophyceae; Ulvales; Ulvaceae. The record is from RNAcentral.
CUGCUUGUAGCUUAAUGGAUAAAGCGUUAGUUUGCGGAGCUAAAUAUGAUUGUUCGAUUCAAUCCUAGCAGUUA